ACAACAAUGAACAACAUCAUCAUCCUCAUCUGGACCAUUGGGGUUUUUAUUCAAGCCUCCAGAGGAAUCACUCUGACUCAACCUAAAGUUAAAACUGUCCAGCUCGGUCAAACAGCUACAAUAGAGUGUAACAUAGAUGUAGGGAUACUUGGCAACCUAUUAGCCUGGUAUCAGCAGAAACCUGGAGACGCUCCUAAACUCCUCAUUUAUUACAUAAACAGCCUCCAGUCAGGAACUCCAUCUAGAUUCAGUGGCAGUGGAACAGCGAGUACAGGAAAAGAUUUCACUCUGACCAUCAGUGGAGUCCAGACUGAAGAUACAGGAGAUUAUUACUGUCAGAGUGCACACAGUGGUCCAGUGUUCACACAGUGAUAAAGAGUCGUACAAAAACCUCCGUCAGUCAGAGUCACAGUGACUGCACUGAUACAGCUGAGAGACACUGCAGCUGCUGAUGCUCAUCUCAAUAUUUUUUGUCUGUAACUCUCUAUUGUACUGAUGAACACCAUCUAUUUGCCCAACAUUACGAGUAAAUAUUAGAAUCAUGUAGGAGCAAAACUAUUCAAUGCUGUACAAAUCACACAAAUCUAGAUUACUUACAAAUCUUCUACUCAAACAGUGUGCAAAAGUCUUAUUCAGUGCUGCUGCACUAACUGGCAUCACUGGUUCCUGAAGGGGUUAAUUCAUGAUCCCAUUUUAAUUAAUUUAAUUAAAUCUGUAGUGGUAUAUGAUUAAUGAUUACAAUAAUCAGUGUCUCUGCAUCAGAAAAAUGCCCUAUCUUCCCAUUUUUAUAGUCCUUGGCUAAACCCAAGCUGAAUUCACUGUUUGUUCAUCAGCAGAGGUCCAACAAAUUUCCUCAAAUGUUCUUCUACUUCCUGCACACCCUUGUUCAGAUUCAUUCAGUUCAGAUUAAUUCAAACUAUAGCCUUCAUAUUUAAAAUGACUGGAUGAUUAUUUUUUAACUGCUUGCUCCCUUAAUUACGACAUUAACC
Molecule: non-coding RNA, 989 nt
Organism: Carassius auratus (goldfish)
Lineage: Eukaryota; Metazoa; Chordata; Actinopteri; Cypriniformes; Cyprinidae
Source: the annotation of a RefSeq genome assembly